AGGGAAACCGAGUCUUAACUGGGCGUUAAGUUGCAGGGUAUAGACCCGAAACCCGGUGAUCUAGCCAUGGGCAGGUUGAAGGUUGGGUAACACUAACUGGAGGACCGAACCGACUAAUGUUGAAAAAUUAGCGGAUGACUUGUGGCUGGGGGUGAAAGGCCAAUCAAACCGGGAGAUAGCUGGUUCUCCCCGAAAGCUAUUUAGGUAGCGCCUCGUGAACUCAUCUUCGGGGGUAGAGCACUGUUUCGGCUAGGGGGUCAUCCCGACUUACCAACCCGAUGCAAACUGCGAAUACCGAAGAAUGUUAUCACGGGAGACACACGGCGGGUGCUAACGUCCGUCGUGAAGAGGGAAACAACCCAGACCGCCAGCUAAGGUCCCAAAGUCACAGUUAAGUGGGAAACGAUGUGGGAAGGCUCAGACAGCCAGGAUGUUGGCUUAGAAGCAGCCAUCAUUUAAAGAAAGCGUAAUAGCUCACUGGUCGAGUCGGCCUGCGCGGAAGAUGUAACGGGGCUAAACUGUGCACCGAAGCUGCGGCAGCGACGCUUAUGCGUUGUUGGGUAGGGGAGCGUUCUGUAAGCCUGCGAAGGUGUCCUGUGAGGGAUGCUGGAGGUAUCAGAAGUGCGAAUGCUGACAUAAGUAACGAUAAUGCGG
This 654-nucleotide ribosomal RNA is filed under the name Salmonella enterica subsp. enterica serovar Kentucky. Its description in RNAcentral is "partial 23S ribosomal RNA". It matches the Rfam family "Bacterial large subunit ribosomal RNA", at positions 670 to 1320 of the family's 2925-position model. Lineage: Bacteria; Pseudomonadati; Pseudomonadota; Gammaproteobacteria; Enterobacterales; Enterobacteriaceae. The record is from RNAcentral.